GACGAACGCUGGCGGCGUGCUUAACACAUGCAAGUCGAACGGAAAGGCCCUGCUUUUGUGGGGUGCGCGAGUGGCGAACGGGUGAGUAACACGUGAGUAACCUGCCCUUGACUUUGGGAUAACUUCAGGAAACUGGGGCUAAUACCGGAUAGGAGCUCCUGCUGCAUGGUGGGGGUUGGAAAGUUUGGGCGGUUGGGGAUGGACUCGCGGCUUAUCAGAUUGUUGGUGGUGUAGUGGCUUACCAAGGCUUUGACGGGUAGCCGGCCUGAGAGGGUGACCGGCCAAAUUGGGACUGAGAUACGGCCAAGACUCCUACGCGAGGAAGCAGUGGGGAAUAUUGCACUAUGGGCGGAAGCCUAAUGCAGCAACGCAGCGUGCGGGAUGACGGCCUUCGGGUUGUAUACCGCUUUAGCCUGUGACGAAGCGUGAGUGACGGUAAUGGGUAAAGAAGCACCGGCUAACUCCGUG
RNAcentral lists this ribosomal RNA (468 nucleotides) under uncultured bacterium. RNAcentral's name for it is "partial 16S ribosomal RNA". It matches the Rfam family "Bacterial small subunit ribosomal RNA", at positions 28 to 507 of the family's 1533-position model. The record is from RNAcentral.